Long non-coding RNA from Nematostella vectensis (starlet sea anemone), 1697 nucleotides. RefSeq lists it as uncharacterized. The record is from RefSeq and is a predicted model, not a curated record. NCBI's taxonomy places the organism in Eukaryota, Metazoa, Cnidaria, Anthozoa, Actiniaria, Edwardsiidae. The transcript has 2 exons.
GUGACCUUCAAAGAACCACUGGAUCAGUUGUAGGCCGUCUAUCCGGCCAUCAUCCACCCCCCUUUUUGAAAUCCUGGAUCCGCCCCUGCUAUCAUCCCUCUCUUACCCACAUCACAACCAGACGAUCACCUUAAUUGCCACGGCCAUAAUAGCGCAGCCUAAACGCUGGUGUCCUGCGUAACCGGUAGAGGUAGUAUUUGCCACAGUUUCUGACUUUGAUGUAGACGCCCCAUUUGCAGCAGUUUCCCGCCUAAUUGAAGCACACCUUGCGAGUCACUGCAACUUGGCCUACAGUGGCCUACAGAACCGACCAUCCAUCCAGGGGCAUAAGGUACCACAGCGUUUCGGUGGUACACAGGCGAUCGGUAUAGCUGUUUCUGCUGCGCCGUAGAAGCGAUACCAACGGAUUCCAGGAAAAAGGUCACAUGUGGCGUUGCUCUGACCGGUAUUGCAGAUGGACCUGCUAUAGUCAUUCAAUUGUGUACCUUGGCAUGCUGCAAAGGAGAAAUGCAGUGAAAGCACACCUUGCGUGUCACCAGGCUAUAACGACGGGCAGGAUGAGAUCCAACCAUCCAGAAGCGUGGGUGCCACAGAGUCUUACAGGUACACAUCUGGUAGGCAUGGCAUUACCUGCUUUGCCGAGGAAGCGGUACCAGCGAUUACAAGGAAGGAACUUUAUACGGAGGCAAAAAACGUCCAUAGCCCUAUCAUAGGGCUGUGCCACGCACAAGCUCGCCGAGAUGAAAAGUGAAAAUAUCUUUUCUUAUUACGCUACCAGUGUCUCUUGAAAAUCCGUGUUGCUAUAGUAGUGUAAUGGUGCAAGCGGGUCGAAUCGAGUUUUCCGCAACACCAGCUACUGCCUGCAAAUAGUAUUCUAUUUCAUAACACUCCCUAUCAUAGUUCGAAAAAGGCAUGUAAAAAAUAAUUGGUCAGCAACAGCUUGGCUUAAGGCGGGGAGGCUAGCGGUACGAGUCGAGCGAAUUCAUAGAUCCGACAUGUCAAUCACGCGCGCACGAAUAGCCAAUCAGGAAAGAGAUGAUGCAAUAACAGCCAUGUGGUGGGACUUUUGUGGGACAUUUGGGUUGCACUUUGCUGGCUUCUAUUUUCUGCUUUCUGAUUGGAUAUUCGUGCGCGCGUCGGAUCUAUGAAUGGGGCUUGGUGAGGGGACGUUCCAUUCCGUCGUUCCGCUGGAGAACUGAGUACGAGUUGAGUUGGCAAUCCUCUCGCUAUUUAUGGCCCUGUUCUUGCGUAACCAUCGCCAAAAUCAUCACCUUGCCUCACAGGUUACAUUGUUCUAGCCUAUUUCAAACUUGCUUAUGAUUAUGUGUGUUAUGAAUAGGCAGAUAUCAACUAGUCGGUUCUUAUACGAAUAUAAGCUUAGAUCGUCGUGCGAUUUCUGUCCAAAAAGAAAACGAAAGUUUCGCGAGGAGCAGAAACAAGAUUAAGGAAUAUAAAUACAAAACAUUGCGUUUAUUUGUUAAUGGUUUUUGGCUCACAUUAAAACGCAUAGCAUUUUAAACAUUUCUAGAAGAAAUUAUUAAAUACACCUUUGGUUUUUAGAUUACAAAUUUGAAUACAAUAUUAUUUACUAUCAUUAUUUGCUAUCAUUAGAAUUGUAAACAUUUGCUGCUAUCUAUUGCUAAAAAAAGACCACGUUCUGCGAUGUGCAGUCGACAGACGUGCCGGAAGGAUUUGAG